This is a long non-coding RNA of Mastomys coucha (southern multimammate mouse), 572 nucleotides long. RefSeq lists it as uncharacterized. NCBI's taxonomy places the organism in Eukaryota, Metazoa, Chordata, Mammalia, Rodentia, Muridae. The transcript has 2 exons. The record is from RefSeq and is a predicted model, not a curated record.
UGUUCUGAGAAACAAUAUUCAGAACUGCAUGCCAGCCUAUAUUUGUUCCCUCCAUUCCUACCUGGUCUCCAAAGGAUAUGUGUGAGCAUGCAGGAGGACAAGACAUGUGCUGUAUAAGUAUGUUGUCCUGAGUGAGUUCAGGAGUUAAUGCACAUUACUUUGGCCACAUAUACUAAGCUCUCAAAAGAUGUUAAGUUAUCAUCAGAAGGUUAAACCACAGGCUGAAGACCUUGAAAACAUGAGUACUCCUUUUACAAUUUAUGUGAACAACAUGAAAUAAUUCUGAGCCAGGUAACAGGAAGGCCUGAGCUGCUCACGGAGAGAUCUGCCAAUCUCCUUCUCAUCAUCACACCAGGAGAUCCCUUCCAUAGACCAAGGCUGAGGAGCUGCAGCAAUUAAAGAAGUUUUUUGUCAUCUUUACUUGUCUUAGGACAAUACAUGUAUCAAUAAAAUACAUUCUAUAAUAUACUAUGGGAUAUCCACAAUAUAUUGAGUCCUGCUGCCCCAUCUCAAUAAACUAACAAACAAAUAAAUGAAGAUCUACCUAGCUAAAAAUCUCAUUAAAAACACAA